RNAcentral lists this long non-coding RNA (209 nucleotides) under Vombatus ursinus (common wombat). RNAcentral's name for it is "lncRNA (ENSVURG00010006952.1)". The record is from RNAcentral. Lineage: Eukaryota; Metazoa; Chordata; Mammalia; Diprotodontia; Vombatidae.
CCCUCUACGGAGGAUUUAUGGGAAGAGAAGAAUGCCAGCAGAGGGAAGAUCCAUACCACUCAAAUGACAGAUCCUCUCCUGCCUUUCAAUGACAACUGGCCCAGCACUCCAGAUACCUGAAUAUCUGGUGUCCAAUAGACACCCUGACUCUGCAUGUGUAGUCACAACUUCACCAUGGCCAGUUCUUAUCAGAUGAAGGUCCACCGUCC